UAGGGAAUCUUCCACAAUGGGUGCAAACCUGAUGGAGCAAUGCCGCGUGAGUGAAGAAGGUCUUCGGAUCGUAAAGCUCUGUUGUUAGAGAAGAACACGUGCUAGGUAACUACUAGCGCCUUGACGGUAUCUAACCAGAAAGUCACGGCUAACUACGUGCCAGCAGCCGCGGUAAUACGUAGGUGACAAGCGUUGUCCGGAUUUAUUGGGCGUAAAGGGAGCGCAGGCGGUCUGUUUAGUCUAAUGUGAAAGCCCACGGCUUAACCGUGGAACGGCAUUGGAAACUGACAGACUUGAAUGUAGAAGAGGAAAAUGGAAUUCCAAGUGUAGCGGUGGAAUGCGUAGAUAUUUGGAGGAACACCAGUGGCGAAGGCGAUUUUCUGGUCUAACAUUGACGCUGAGGCUCGAAAGCGUGGGGAGCGAACAGGAUUAGAUACCCUGGUAGUCCACGCCGUAACGAUGAGUGCUAAGUGUUGGGGGCUUUCCGGCCCUCGGUGCUGGAGCUAACGUAUUAAGCACUCCGCCUGGGGAUUACGACCGCAAGGUU
Molecule: ribosomal RNA, 547 nt
Filed under: uncultured bacterium
Lineage: Bacteria
Description: bacterial SSU rRNA
Rfam family: Bacterial small subunit ribosomal RNA
Source: RNAcentral